RNAcentral lists this transfer RNA (87 nucleotides) under Hypoxylon sp. FL0890. Its description in RNAcentral is "tRNA-Thr". It matches the Rfam family "tRNA". From Rfam's summary of the family: Transfer RNA (tRNA) molecules are approximately 80 nucleotides in length. Lineage: Eukaryota; Fungi; Ascomycota; Sordariomycetes; Xylariales; Hypoxylaceae. The record is from RNAcentral.
GCCCUUAUAGCUCAGUGGUAGAGCGCAGCACUUGUAAUUCCCCACAAGUACAUGCUGAGGUCCAUCGUUCAAUCCGGUGUGGGGGCA